AGGAACUUAGGCUAAUAGAAGACCAGGGGCCUUCAAAGCCCCCAGUGAAGGUGAGAAUCCCUCAGUUCCUG
This 71-nucleotide transfer RNA is filed under the name Cottus amblystomopsis (Sakhalin sculpin). Its description in RNAcentral is "tRNA-Trp". It matches the Rfam family "tRNA". Rfam says of the family: Transfer RNA (tRNA) molecules are approximately 80 nucleotides in length. Their secondary structure includes four short double-helical elements and three loops (D, anti-codon, and T loops). Further hydrogen bonds mediate the characteristic L-shaped molecular structure. tRNAs have two regions of fundamental functional importance: the anti-codon, which is responsible for specific mRNA codon recognition, and the 3' end, to which the tRNAs corresponding amino acid is attached (by aminoacyl-tRNA synthetases). tRNAs cope with the degeneracy of the genetic code in two manners: having more than one tRNA (with a specific anti-codon) for a particular amino acid; and 'wobble' base-pairing, i.e. permitting non-standard base-pairing at the 3rd anti-codon position. The record is from RNAcentral. Lineage: Eukaryota; Metazoa; Chordata; Actinopteri; Perciformes; Cottidae.